This 377-nucleotide ribosomal RNA is filed under the name uncultured Glomeromycotina. RNAcentral's name for it is "LSU rRNA". The record is from RNAcentral. Lineage: Eukaryota; Fungi; Glomeromycota.
UUGAAAGGGAAACGAUUGAAGUCAGUCGUACCAGCGGGAAAUCAACCUUUCGAGUGGGGUUUUGGGAGUUUUUUGAAGAGUGUCAAAACCUUUGAGAUUUCAAAAUAUUCGCUCUUUUGGUGUACUUUCUCGUGGGUAGGUUAACAUCGAUUUUGAUCAUCAUAAAAAGAUUGGAGGAAUGUAGCUUCGAUCUUGUAUUGAAGUGUUAUAGCCUUUGGUAAAUGUGAUGAUUAGGAUCGAGGAUUGCAACGAAUACCCUUUUGGGCUAUCCGCCUGAUCUCUGAUACGUGGCCUUGGUAUCGAAAGCGUGCUUAUGGUAUUGAGGUAUUACGGUCAAAAGGUUAGAACGGAUUACAUUCGUUAAGGAUGUUGACGUA